This 1947-nucleotide ribosomal RNA is filed under the name Staphylococcus epidermidis. Its description in RNAcentral is "partial 23S ribosomal RNA". It matches the Rfam family "Bacterial large subunit ribosomal RNA", at positions 1 to 1965 of the family's 2925-position model. Lineage: Bacteria; Bacillati; Bacillota; Bacilli; Caryophanales; Staphylococcaceae. The record is from RNAcentral.
GGGUUGUGAGGUUAAGCGACUAAGCGUACACGGUGGAUGCCCUGGCAGUCAGAGGCGAUGAAGGACGUGCUAAUCUGCGAAAAGCGUCGGUAAGGUGAUAUGAACCGUUAUAACCGGCGAUGUCCGAAUGGGGAAACCCAGUGUGAUUCGUCACACUAUCGUUAACUGAAUACAUAGGUUAACGAGGCGAACCGGGGGAACUGAAACAUCUAAGUACCCCGAGGAAAAGAAAUCAACCGAGAUUCCCCCAGUAGCGGCGAGCGAACGGGGAGCAGCCCAGAGUCUGAAUCAGCUUGUGUGUUAGUGGAACGGUCUGGAAAGUCCGACGGUACAGGGUGAUAGUCCCGUACACCAAAAUGCACAGGCUGUGAACUCGAAGAGUAGGGCGGGACACGUGGUAUCCUGUCUGAAUAUGGGGGGGACCAUCCUCCAAGGCUAAAUACUCCUGACUGACCGAUAGUGAACCAGUACCGUGAGGGAAAGGCGAAAAGAACCCCGGCGAGGGGAGUGAAAAAGAACCUGAAACCGUGUACGUACAAGCAGUGGGAGCACCUUCGGGUGUGACUGCGUACCUUUUGUAUAAUGGGUCAGCGACUUAUAUUCUGUAGCAAGGUUAACCGUAUAGGGGAGCCGCAGGGAAACCGAGUCUUAACUGGGCGUUAAGUUGCAGGGUAUAGACCCGAAACCCGGUGAUCUAGCCAUGGGCAGGUUGAAGGUUGGGUAACACUAACUGGAGGACCGAACCGACUAAUGUUGAAAAAUUAGCGGAUGACUUGUGGCUGGGGGUGAAAGGCCAAUCAAACCGGGAGAUAGCUGGUUCUCCCCGAAAGCUAUUUAGGUAGCGCCUCGUGAAUUCAUCUUCGGGGGUAGAGCACUGUUUCGGCUAGGGGGUCAUCCCGACUUACCAACCCGAUGCAAACUACGAAUACCGAAGAAUGUUAUCACGGGAGACACACGGCGGGUGCUAACGUCCGUCGUGAAGAGGGAAACAACCCAGACCGCCAGCUAAGGUCCCAAAGUCAUGGUUAAGUGGGAAACGAUGUGGGAAGGCACAGACAGCCAGGAUGUUGGCUUAGAAGCAGCCAUCAUUAAAGAAAGCGUAAUAGCUCACUGGUCGAGUCGGCCUGCGCGGAAGAUGUAACGGGGCUAAACCAUGCACCGAAGCUGCGGCAGCGACACUAUGUGUUGUUGGGUAGGGGAGCGUUCUGUAAGCCUGCGAAGGUGUGCUGUGAGGCAUGCUGGAGGUAUCAGAAGUGCGAAUGCUGACAUAAGUAACGAUAAAGCGGGUGAAAAGCCCGCUCGCCGGAAGACCAAGGGUUCCUGUCCAACGUUAAUCGGGGCAGGGUGAGUCGACCCCUAAGGCGAGGCCGAAAGGCGUAGUCGAUGGGAAACAGGUUAAUAUUCCUGUACUUGGUGUUACUGCGAAGGGGGGGACGGAGAAGGCUAUGUUAGCCGGGCGACGGUUGUCCCGGUUUAAGCAUGUAGGCUGGUUGUCCAGGCAAAUCCGGAUAAUCAAGGCUGAGGUGUGAUGACGAGGCACUACGGUGCUGAAGUAACAAAUGCCCUGCUUCCAGGAAAAGCCUCUAAGCAUCAGGUAACAUUAAAUCGUACCCCAAACCGACACAGGUGGUCAGGUAGAGAAUACCAAGGCGCUUGAGAGAACUCGGGUGAAGGAACUAGGCAAAAUGGUGCCGUAACUUCGGGAGAAGGCACGCUGGUGUGUAGGUGAAGUCCCUGCGGAUGGAGCUGAGACCAGUCGAAGAUACCAGCUGGCUGCAACUGUUUAUUAAAAACACAGCACUGUGCAAACACGAAAGUGGACGUAUACGGUGUGACGCCUGCCCGGUGCCGGAAGGUUAAUUGAUGGGGUUAUCCGUAAGGAGAAGCUCUUGAUCGAAGCCCCGGUAAACGGCGGCCGUAACUAUAACGGUCCUAAGGUAGCGAAAU